This 235-nucleotide long non-coding RNA is filed under the name Elaeis guineensis (African oil palm). RNAcentral's name for it is "long non-coding RNA (EGUI_LNC020735)". The record is from RNAcentral. Lineage: Eukaryota; Viridiplantae; Streptophyta; Magnoliopsida; Arecales; Arecaceae.
CAUGACCGUGGUCACGAUGAAAUCAAUAAUACUUCUUUUUGUCGUGACUCCUCGGUGGCAUCUUCAUCGACGGAAGAUGUCGAAGAUACUCCUCUCCUUCGAUCUUCAUUAAGAUCUAUGCAUGAAGAGUAGAAAGAGGAGUAUAGGAGUCAUACCUGCUACCAUAGUUAUUCGAUCUUGGACUCCGUUGACGGAGGAAGCUUUUUUAUUGAUUAUUGACUGACUUGAUUCGGCC